RNAcentral lists this unclassified non-coding RNA (1943 nucleotides) under Hevea brasiliensis (rubber tree). The record is from RNAcentral. Lineage: Eukaryota; Viridiplantae; Streptophyta; Magnoliopsida; Malpighiales; Euphorbiaceae.
GAUGUAUCACGCGUGCUCCAUUUCCAUUACCACUCAUCUCUAAAAGCCUCCACUUUUGACUCCUCUCCCUCCCAUACCCAUCUCCACCACCAUGACAGCACCCACCACCAACGCCACCAGAACAAAAUUUCCUCGCUCAAAAUCCAAAUGCAUACUCUUUACCAUCAUUGCUUCUGUCCUGCUUUUGUCUCUCGUCGCUAUUAUCCUCUUUUUUACCCUUCGUCACAAAAUCUCACAUUCCCACUCUCCAAAUUCAUCUUCAAGCUCAAACUUACCAAUAGCUGCUAUCCAAUUAGCCUGCCAAGCCACACAACACCGGGAAACUUGUCAAACCUCUCUAUCUCAGUCCAAUCUUGUCCCUCCCAAUCCUACCCCACUUCAAAUUAUACAAUCUGCAUUGUGGGUCUCCUCCCAAAACCUCACAAUUGCACAAUCAAUGUUGAAGUCCCUCCUAGCCUCCGCCGCCAGUAACCAAAACGUCACUAACGUUGUCAAAAGUUGUUUGGAGAUUUUGGGUUUUUCCCAGUACCGCAGUUCAGUGUCGAAUGACACUUUGCCAUUCGGUAAGACCAAAGAUGUUCGUGCUUGGAUGAGUGCGGCGGUGGCUUACCAAUACGAUUGUUAUGGAGGACUGAGUUAUCAAGGCGGCAACUCGCAGGAAGUCAAUGAAACGAAGGCUUUUCUUGACAAUUUGAUUGGGCUCAGCAGCAAUGCUUUAAGCAUGAUUGUCUCUUACGAUUUAUUUGGCAACGAAACCCGGUCCUGGCGACCACCAAAAACAGAGCGAGAUGGGUUCUGGGAGGACCCAAAGUUGCGCGGUGAAAUGGGGUUUAGCGGUGAGUUUCCGUCAAACUUAACAGUGGAUGCGACGGUGUGUAAGAAUGUGAGUAGUGGAUGUUACAAAACGGUACAGGAAGCUGUUAGUGCAGCUCCCAGUAAUGCGACGGCGCGAAGGUUUGUGAUACACAUAAAGGAGGGGGUUUAUGAGGAGAUCGUUAGGGUCCCGAUUGAGAAGAAAAAUGUGGUCUUCUUAGGCGAUGGAAUGGGGAAAACGGUAAUUACAGGGUCGUUGACUGUUGGUCAGCCUGGUGUCAAUACAUAUGAGUCUGCUACUGUUGGGGUUCUUGGUGAUGGAUNUUCAUGGCUAGUGGUGUCACAUUCCAGAAUGCAGCAGGUCCUCCUACCCACCAAGCAGUGGCUUUUAGAUCAGACAGUGAUCUAUCAUAUAUUGAGAACUGUGAAUUCCUAGGCAAUCAAGACACUUUGUAUGCUCAUUCUCUUCGCCAAUUCUAUAAAUCAUGUCGGAUUCAGGGCAAUGUCGAUUUCAUUUUUGGAAACUCAGCAGCAGUUUUCCAAGAUUGUCAAAUCUUAGUUGUUCCCAGGCAAGAAAAUCCGGAAAAAGGCGAACAAAAUGCUGUCACUGCACACGGCAGGACGGACCCUGCCCAAUCAACAGGUUUUGUGUUUCAAAAUUGUUCGAUCAAUGGCACUGCAGAGUACAUGGCAUUAUACAAUGGCAACCCAAAGGUUCACAGGAAUUACUUGGGAAGGCCUUGGAAGGAAUACUCAAGAGUCAUUUACAUAAAUUGCAAUUUUGAAUCUCUCAUAACAGCAGACGGGUGGAUGCCUUGGAGUGGCGAUUUCGCACUGAAUACGCUAUACUAUGGAGAAUACAAAAAUUCUGGUCCAGGAUCUAAUUUGUCUCAGAGAGUCACCUGGAGCAGUCAGAUUCCGGCAGAGCAUGUAAACACAUAUUCAGCACAGAAUUUCAUUCAAGGAGACGAAUGGAUGCCUACAUCUUCUUGAAUAUUCAAAAUAAAUAAUGCAGCACACAACAUUAUUACAAAUAAAGUUAGUAUACAGCAUUAUUUAUUUUGAACACUUGUUUACAGAAUCAAUAUGGCGAGUGGUAAUGAAUUUGCUUAAUUUAUAGAUUGAUUACA